Brassica napus (rape) is the source of this 1764-nucleotide long non-coding RNA. RefSeq lists it as uncharacterized. The transcript has 10 exons. The record is from RefSeq and is a predicted model, not a curated record. NCBI's taxonomy places the organism in Eukaryota, Viridiplantae, Streptophyta, Magnoliopsida, Brassicales, Brassicaceae.
CUGCAAAAAGUCAACCUUUUUGGACGGAUAAAUGGUAGAAAGACCAGAAGACCCACACACCGGGGCCCAUAUAUUGACAGCGUGGCAUCACAGAAGCCCACCAGCCAAACUAUCUCGUUCUUGUCCGGUCUUUCCUAGUUUCAUCGUCUCUCACCGGUUUGUCUCUCCACGCUUCUCUUACCUGCGUUCGAUUCCGUAAUCUCGACUCCGAAGUCUAACUCUUCGUCUGAGAGACGAAGACCGCUCGUCUCAGAGAAGGCGUUUUCCAGACUCCCUGCGACGACGACGAGAUUACCGCUGCUUGGCUCGCACCUAAAGACGUUCCUCCUCAGAAGAUGUCAUGUGUUGUUGUUCAUAUUGCAGGGACAGGUGAUCAUACAUAUGACAGGAGAUUGCGUCUAGGUUGACCUUUGGUGAAGCAAAACAUUGCAACAAUGGUGCUGGAGAGUGAUCUACUUUUACUAGGGAGGGCAACGAUCGAAGAGUCUCGCAGUCUUCUUAUUCACUGGCUAGACACCGAGGAAGGCUUUGGAAAGAUGGGUGUUUGUGGGCGCGUAGUAUGGAAACUUGAAAAAAUGUUAACGGAGGAGUACAACACUUCCCUACCUAUCUCCACACUCUGCAGUUGUUGCGUUCAUACUAAAGCAUGGAAGCGCUUUGGAGGCACCAAGGGAAGAACUUGAAGCGCAGAAGAUCACAAUGAUUCUUGACCAAGUGAGAGAGAGAGAGAGAGAGGAUGAGAACUAUUCUCUCCCUCACUUCACUGAUGAGAGAAAUCCUGAAGCUGUCAUGUUUGUUGCUGCAACUGAUGAUGGAUACAUAACAAUGACGAGUUUCGCAGGGCGAUAAUGGACGGUCUCGAUAGAGUAGACUGGAAGGAGUCAUGGUGACUGUCGUCAUACCAUUGUAACACAACUCCAUCUGCCUUUUUCUCACAACCUCUGUCUCCUUAUGCCUUGUUACAAUUUGGUUUAAUCGUGAAGAAAAGUGACUCUUUGUGGGUUUUUUUGCUUCAAGCUAGGGUCGGCAUGCGUUGGUGUAUGAUAUAAACGCAAUAAAUGAAACGUGGGAAUGGGUUGAUCUCAAGGAGAUACCACCUGAAGAUAUAAGGUGGGAUGAAAAGAGGAUAGUGGGGGUAGCCUUAAACACUGGACCUGGAAGUGGAUCAAUCCGUGGCAACCGAAGAAACCAAGGCCACAUUGGUAGAGGGAGAGGACCAAGAAUUCAUCAGCCGAGAAGAGAAUUUUUGCCACCACCAACACAACAGAAUGGUGGUGGUGGUGGUGAUGAUAUUGAAUUGUUCAACACAGACUUGCUUGUGAAGGAGGUGGAGAGAGUUUUCGAUGCUACGCAUCCUGAUCCAUUUGAGCUUGAUAAGGCGAAGAAAAUGCUCAAGGAACAUGAACAGGGCGCUUAUGGCUGCCCUUGCAAGGCUUGCUGAUACUUCUGAUGGUGAAAUUGAUGGAGAUCCACCAUAUUCGCAUGACCAUCCAAUGCAUCAGGGAUGAAAGAAAAGCUGUCUUUUAACUGAACCCACCAAGGACACAAGAUGGAAAUGAGCUAAAUGUAUGUUAUGUUAAGUUAGGAUCGGGACGUAGUAAGAUUCUCUGUAAAGCAACAAUAUUUUUUUGGUUUUUAGAGAAUUUAACCUGUGACUAAUGAUUGAGCCAUGUAAAAUGUUUGUUCCGGAGUCCACCUCCAUCAGACCUGCCAUCAAAACGCAUACAGUUUAUGUGUUCUGUUAUAUGGUUCUUCAAACAUCCA